CCUACGGGGGGCAGCAGUGAGGAAUAUUGGUCAAUGGGCGGGAGCCUGAACCAGCCAAGCCGCGUGAGGGAAGAAGGUACAGCGUAUCGUAAACCUCUUUUGUCAGGGAACAAAGGCGGGGACUAGUCCCCGGCUGAGGGUACCUGAAGAAAAAGCAUCGGCUAACACCGUGCCAGCAGCCGCGGUAAUACGGAGGAUGCGAGGGUUAUCCGGAUUUAUUGGGUUUAAAGGGUGCGCAGGGGGCCUGUUAAGUCAGCGGUAAAAGCCCGGGGCUCAACCCCGGCGAGCCGUUGAGACUGGCGGGCUGGAGUUGGAGAGAAGUACGCGGAAUGCGCGGUGUAGCGGUGAAAUGCUUAGAUAUCGCGCAGAACCCCGAUUGCGAAGGCAGCGUACCGGCUCCACACUGACGCUGAGGCACGAAAGCGUGGGUAUCGAACAGGAUUAGAUACCCUAGUAGUC
This 459-nucleotide ribosomal RNA is filed under the name uncultured bacterium. RNAcentral describes it as "partial 16S ribosomal RNA". It matches the Rfam family "Bacterial small subunit ribosomal RNA", at positions 338 to 795 of the family's 1533-position model. The record is from RNAcentral.